Long non-coding RNA from Tachysurus fulvidraco (yellow catfish), 1847 nucleotides. RefSeq lists it as uncharacterized. The transcript has 7 exons. The record is from RefSeq and is a predicted model, not a curated record. NCBI's taxonomy places the organism in Eukaryota, Metazoa, Chordata, Actinopteri, Siluriformes, Bagridae.
UUUAAGUGGGUAUAUGGAAAUCCUUGGCAUUUCCUAGUGGGUAUACGGCGUAUACCUGCGUGUCACGUAGACUACACCAGUGCAUAUACACACUUUUUUUAUUCAACAGACAGAAUUAAAAUGUUAAGCAACGAAGUGAUCUGGGUUUAAUAUUCUCAAUUUGGGAAAUCGAUAAAAAAAAAUGUAGAUAUUGCUAAAAACAACAACAACCCAGUGUUGGGAAACUUAUUGUCUGUAGAAAUAAUGUCAACUGGGAAUCUAGUAGUUUAAUUAAACACUGUUUAUUAUUGUGCUGAAAUAGAUAGAUAGAUAGAUAGAUAGAUAGAUAGAUAGAUAGAUAGAUAGAUAGAUAGAUAGAUAGAUAGAUAGAUAGAUAGAUAGAUAGAUAGAUAGAUAGAUAGAUAGAUAGAUAUUAUUUUGAGUUGUUUGGUUGGAAAAUUAAUUUGUAUUGACCCUAAAAAUGCUCCUAUUGACAAAAGGUUGGAGAAACUUUGAAUCUUGCGUUGGCAAAAUUAUGAUCAAGGUGUGUCAGUAUAACACCAGGUGGAAUAAUGUGGUGUUUAUAAACUCCAUCAGGUUUGUAAUAUUGAGAUGUGGAAGCCUUGUGUAAGUGUAAAAAACAAACUCAUUGAUUUGACCUGACCCUUGGCUAUUUCCUUCUGUGUGUGUGUGUGUGUGUGUGUGUGUGUGUGUGUGUGUGUGUGUGUGUGUGUGUGUGUGUGUGUGUGUGUGUGUGUGUAUAUAUAUAUAUAUAUAAUUUUCAUUUUUUUUAGAUUGGUUUAUUCAUGUUUUAUAUCUUCCUAUUUUUUGCAGAAAGAAUGGUUUAAUGAACUCCACAAAAUUUUGUUCCUAUAUUAUUGUUCACUAGAAUAUAACUUUAAAAGUAACAGGACUUUUCUUUGGGAAUUUGUUUGGGGAGGGAAUGUUAUCGGUGGGACACUUCUACGGGGUUUCCUCUUGUACCUCAUGCGGUCGCCUCAGUCAGUAUAUGUUGCGUGUGAGGCCGAUGAUGACGCGUGUUUUCCGCUCCUCCUCUCAUUACACUGCUGAGUAAUGUGGAGAGGCAGCUACAACACAAUUCUCCUCAAAAUAUUCAGCUUUCCUCCGCGGUGGACAAAAUACACAAGUCUCUAUGUGCUGACGGCUGAGAGACAGAUUCCAAGGGACCGUCUGCAAAGUGCAAAACCCGAAAAGCGAAUACUACAAAAAGUCAAUAACUACAACACUUAGUUAUAAUAGUUAUACUACAACACUUAUUCUGAGAAACCUUGCUUAUUGAUUAUUUUUAUUGUUUGCAUUAUGAACAAUAUACAUUUGACUAACUUUGGAAAGACCGCUUUUCGGGUUUUGUACUUUGCAGACGGUCCCUUGGGAUCGGUCUCUCUCUCUCUCUCUCUCUCUCUCUCUCUCUCUCUCUGGCUUUAUUUCCAGGACGAUUCUCGAAAUGGGAAACAUUCUAUCUACCCACAAGGGUUACAUCAAUUGUGCUAAACUGGAUGGUGAAUGGAGAGCAGCAGGAGGAGGAAAUAAAUGAUGUGGUGGAGGAGGUUAAUGGAGUGGUGAAGGAGAACAAUGAAUGCCCUAUUUGCAUGGAGCCAUACACAGGGGAUGUGACGGUGCUCCAAUGUGGGCAUAAAUUCCACGGCCACUGCAUUGACGAGUGGUUUGAAGUGGAACUAACCUGUGGGAAGUGCUCACUGCCAAUCGAUGUAAAUGGUGCACAUUAAAAUCAACUAACCUGUUUGGUCUGUGGACUACAAAUCACUGCAAAUGGUGCACAUUAAAAUGCUACGAUGAUUGUUUGUUAUUUAUGUUUGUUUUUUUAAUGACAUAUUUAAUACAAAAUC